This is a long non-coding RNA of Leguminivora glycinivorella, 1228 nucleotides long. RefSeq lists it as uncharacterized. The transcript is spliced from 3 exons. Lineage: Eukaryota; Metazoa; Arthropoda; Insecta; Lepidoptera; Tortricidae. The record is from RefSeq and is a predicted model, not a curated record.
UGGGGUGACAUUGCAGUUUAGUAUGAAGAAUAGUUCUCAUAUUAUAUUUCUGGUCAAGCUCUCAGGCUUUAUCAAUCUAUGACUUUCGAGCCAAUUCAUCACUACUUUUAAAAAAUUUCGUAUCUCACGCUGUUCCUCAAAGUUAAAACGCAGUAAGUCUAUAUGCAUUCCAUACAUACUUACUACAAUUUUCUUUUCAUUGAUAGACGAAGAUAUGAGUUUUUUUUAAAGUAGUGACGAAUUAUUUAUGUCUCCUGAUUUUUAGGACGUGUCUUCUGAUUUUAUUCAAAUUGGACCUGGCAACACUGAAAUAAUGUCAGAAUCUUUUCUUUGACAUUAUUUACAAUUUAUAUUAUUAUACAUAAUUGGUGUUUUCACUAUUCUUAAGCUAAAAAAAAAAACACCUGUUUGUCCUCCAAAGAAUACCUUAUUGGAUUCACAGGAUGAUUGAGGAUUUGAGGGAAGCAUGUUAAGACUGUGACAAUAUGGUCUUAAGGCAGCCGGCCUCAUUGAGAACAAGAAAAUACCCUGCUUUAUGUAGCGGUUGUUAUUUGUUAAUAUGACAUGUCUCGGCAGUGUAGUGACCCUGUGCUUAAUUAAGGCUUCAGGUUCAAAUCAUGGUAAACCAAAAUGAAAGCGGCCGGUUGAAAAAGUAGCAGAGUCGAAAAUGGAAAUUAAUGAGCUGCAGAAGUAAAUUUUAGAAGAAUAAUUCUCUUCUUCUUUGUUGUAUCCUUGUGGCUGAGGGACAUGACGAAUGAGGCCAUUCUUUACCAGUGUUCUUCACGCCACUCAAUCCUGGGCCCGGUGCAUGCUAGCCUGCAGUGGUCUUUGUCAGAGACGUUAUUGUGUCUGCCCAAUGUGUGCCCAUGCUGCCACUUCUUCACUUCCUUGCCGUGUCCUGUGAUUAUGGGAAGAAUAAUAUGCAAAUAAAAACCAACAAUGGGCCAUCGAAGAACAGGAGAGGGCAUGUGGGCCUUAGAGAAAGAGUUGUUAAUGUGAAGACUAAAUAAAUUCAACAAAUAAAAUCUCAACUAUAAUACUGUCUUUGGUACACCCGCUACCAUCGCGUCAAAUAGUGAAAGUGCAGUUCAGUGUAAGCAAAGACAGUGUACAAGAUAUACCACUCACCUAUGGCAUUAGUGUUACUAGACCACAUUAAUACAUAAAGACUAUUUUUCUAAACUUGUGUAUAGCUCUGUGUUGUCUUAAUAAAUCCUAUUGGAAACAC